Molecule: ribosomal RNA, 344 nt
Filed under: Medauroidea sp. 1 SB-2021
Lineage: Eukaryota; Metazoa; Arthropoda; Insecta; Phasmatodea; Phasmatidae
Description: partial small subunit ribosomal RNA
Source: RNAcentral
UUAUUUUCUUUAAACCUAAAGAAUUUGGCGGUGUUUUAGUCUAUUCAGAGGAAUCUGUCCCAUUAUCGAUAGUCCACGUUUUAUCUUUCUUUAUCUUGUUUGUACAGUAUGUAUACCGCCGUUAUAAGUUUAUUUUAUUAGAAUAUUAAUUUACUUGUAAUAAUAUUUUAUUAUAUUUCAGGUCAAGGUGCAGCUUAUGAUAAAGUGGAGAUGGAUUACACUUUUAUUUGAAUAAAUGGAUAUGUUGAUUUAAAAUUUCAUUGAAGGUGGAUUUGAUAGUAAUAUUUUAAAUAUUGAUUGUUUGAUUAUAGCUCUAAAAUAAGCACACAUCGCCCGUCGCUCUA